CACCACUUUUUCUAGCGUUUUAAUUACUCUUCUCAUUCUCUCUCUUCCUUUCACGCUUUUUCAUUAUUCAACCCUCUCUUCUCAUCUUCUCUCUUCUUUCGCCGUUCAGUUUGUCUUUCUUCAUCUCGUUUUUUCUUCCUCCCUCUGACUCGCAUGAGUUGUAUUCUUCUCAGACUUCAUUCAAUAUUUGCAUUUUCUUGUUGAACGAUGCAUUUCUCUUCUCGAUUUUCUUUGUAUAGCUAUUUUUUUUAGAUCUUGUAGAUAUGAACGAUUUGUUGGUAGAAUAUAACUAUUUGUUUUUAGUAGAUCUAACUUUUUUUUCUUUGUAGAUCUAUAUAUAUAUAUAUAUUGUGUAGUAGAUAUGAACGAUUUCUUGGUAGAUCUAUAUAUAUAUAAUAUAUAUAUAUAUAUUAUAUUAUAUAUAUAUAUAUAUAUUGUGUAGUAGAUAUGAACGAUUUUUUGUCUAGAUCUGAAAUCUUUUCAAAUAUUAGUUUAUGACUUAGGAUUUGUAUGCUCUCAUAUGGAUUUCCUCAUAUUUUAUUCGUCCUUACAUAUUUGAUUUUUCGAUUGUUGUUGGCUCUAUACUUCGUCGGAUUCGUUUUUGUUUUGAUUUAACUUCCCGUCAUUUUGUGCAUCUUUUAAUUAUUUCGAAUACUUGGUUUCUGGCUUAAAAUUUGUAGUUUGCGUUUGGAUUCCCUCAUAUUUUAUUCAUCCUUGCAUGCUUGAUUUUCUUAUUGUUGUUGGCUCUGUACUUUGUAUGGUUCUUUUUGUCCUGAUUUAGCUUUCCGUCAUUUUGGGCAUUCUUUUGGCUUGCAUGUUUAUGACUAGGGUUUACUCUUAUAAUUUGUUCUUCGUUUCUUAUGAUUUUUUUUUCACUUUUGGUAUGUUAUUACAACCAAAUCCCUAUUUUUUUUUCCAUUUAUAUCGUAUUAACUUCUUUGUCUCUAUUCUUUAUUCCCAUGCUUAUAUAUGUUCUGUUUGUCUUUCUCUUCCCUACUUUUUUUUUCAGAUUGCCUCUUGUUGCUUCAAUAAUAGAGCACGUGUCCUUCCCUUGCCUUUUUUUUUUUUGUUUUUUCUCUUUUUCAUCAAACUUGGACAGUGAGUAAAUUCAUGGUAGGGGAUACCAACCAUGUUAUUGGAGUUUGGUGGGGAUCCAAUCCACCCCACAACAGGUUCGUUUUCUAUCUUCUUUUUCCCUAAGGUCGAUGAUGAUUUGUUAUAAAAUUUGCACUCUAAUUUUUUAGUAUAAUUUCUAAUAUGAUUUGAUUUCAUUUUGAUAAUUAGAUUAAAAAAUUAUGCAUCACUGUUUUUCCUUAUGUUUGCAGACUGCUUUGUAAUUUCUUCCUUCAUACAUAGACAAAUCUUUUGGUGUUUUUCAUCUAAUCAGUGGAUUCUUUUUUUAUCCAUUUUGAAAGUGUUUUCAGUAUUCAACUAAAUUCAGUUUUCAUACACUUAAAAAAUUGAACUUUAAUUUUACAACUGUUGCAAUUAUUUAUUUUGUUUGUUUGGAGUUGGAUUUGUUCCCAUAAAAGAUCUAUAUCAAAUCCUGAGGCCCUCUAAUCUUUAUUCUUAUGUCCAUUUAUGUGAGAUAUUAUGUUGUAAUUAUGUCAAUUUUUAGUAGAUUUAUUUUAUAAUCAACCACCUAAAAUUAAUAUUGAACUGACCAUUACUUACUUUAUUUAUGUUUGAGUUGACCGGUUGGCGUUUUCUAGCCACUAGAGCAAGUAAGAGAACAAUCAGUAAACAUAAUUCCAUACUCGAUCUCAUAGAUACAUAUAGAAUUUUGUGGUGUUUGAUCAACUUGGGGGAAGCCUAGAAAGCCACCUCUUCCUCGUUUUGCUUUUCUAUCUACGGUUCUUUUGGAGUGGAAUGAAUAGAAGCCCAAAGAGAUGAAUAGGGUAAGGGGGACUUAGCUCUAGAUCCCCCCGCUUGCAGAAAUGAAUUGAUUAGAAGGGGUUCUCUUUUUGAAGUUGGAUCUCCAAGUUUUUGGAAUGCCUCAAAUUCUAACAAAGAGAAAACCAGUAUCUGUCGCUAAUUGAUUAAUACAGUUGGUCGACCUAUGCAUCUGUCAGUAAUGAAAGCAAUAGAAUGAAUCACACUUUUACCACUAAACUAUAUCCACUACAAUCCCUAGGGAAGAGGAUCAAGUUGGCCCUUGCGAACAGCUUGAUGCACUUCGGCUGGCUCUUGACAUACAUUCCAGAUCUAUCUUCCAUUCUCCUCACCAACCAUCCUUAUUGUAUCUUCUACUUAUACCUGAAUUCCUUCUCAUAUUUUGUGAGAUUUCUCCACAGCCACCUCUAAUACACUGUGUUGGUACGUCUCUGCUCUACCUUUUUUUUUUUUUUUCAGGUUUUUCUUAAACCAUUUUUACAUUCUCAUAUGUAUGGUUUAGCUAUUGCAAUAUGUUAUGUUUCCUUCUUCUACCUUUGAUUUCAACCUUAUUCUAUUCAUAUAAGAUAGCUAACAAAUGAAAGAUUGCCUUACACAAGGUAUGUUUCCUUCCUUCCUUAUAUUCCAAGUAAGAUUUGAUAUUAACGUUUUUAUGUUUUUGUUAGGAAACAUCUACUUUCUGCCCCUUACAUGUGGACUGUCUCGAUUACCAUUCACUCCGAACAUUAUCAAAAGAUAUGUUCUAGUAUAUUUUAUUUCUACUUCUGUCGUAUUGACCUACCCUUUGGUUUAACUAUACUUAUUUUUCGUUCGUGUAGGGCUCAAACUAAUCGAACAUACAUUUCGUAACUAGUUUGAGGCAGAUGGAGAAACACAAAUUCUAUGUGGUAUUCAUUGGUAGUAAUCCAAGGAUCUACUUAUCCCGCACGAAUAUCAUAGUUAAGUCAGUGAGUACAAGGGGGCAUUACACAAGUCGUAUGAAACAUCAAAUGCAAGAUUAGAAGUUGCUCGAAUGUGACCUAAACCAGAAUACCAUCGAAUGUAAUAUUAGAAGUUUGAAGAAACAAUAUCCGACAGUAACAAAGAUGUUAAAUCAAUUAGGGUUCAGAUGAAACGAGGAGUUCAAGUUCGUUGAGGUGGACAAGGAGAUCUUUGACAUCUAAGUUUGGAGUCAUCCUAACGUGAAGGAAUUGUGGAAUAAGUCAUUCCCCUAUUACGGUGAACUAUCAAAUGUAUUUGGGAAGGAUAGGGCAACUGAGUAGUCUUGCGAGCCCCUAGUGGUGAUGGCGUCAAAUUUGUUCUGAGAAAUAGAAGAUGAAAUAAUUCAGCUAGGAUCACAGGAAUACCCUACCCCAGAUAAUGAACAAACCCAACUGCUUGAGAAUGCAAUGGAAGAAGAUCAAGUAGAUAUGUCCACGAGGGAAAGCAAAUGUACCAGAUAUCUCCAUAGGCAGAGCAAGCGUAUCAGCGGAACCAUCCAGAGGGAGUAAGAGGAAACGACUGACAUUCCAGAAUGAAAUGAUCGACCUCAUAUGAUCCACAGCUAAUAUGCAGUUAACGCACAUGGACAUACUCGUUGUGUGACAAACUGAGAAAUAUGAGCCGGAAUUUGGACAUCGGAAUGAGGUAGUUUAGGCCAUAUUUGGUAUUGAAGGACUGACUGAGGAUGAUAGAUACAACCUAGUUGAUAUAAUUGGCACGGACAUACAAAAGACGGGCCUCUUCCUUGCUGUAUCGGAAGAAGUUCGUCUUUUGCUUUUCCUUGUUGUACCGGAAGAGAAACAGCUACGGUACUGCAUGCCUACUUGCUCGAACCCACUAGACUAACCACCUGCUAUUUCAACCGAAAAACAUAUAUUUUGUAAUUUUUUUUUUGGAAUGACCACAUGUUCAGUCAUUUGUUAUAGUUUUUGUAAUGUUCAGAAAAAUGUAACUGUACUACAGUAUCACAUUCUCACCAUCAAUAUGAAAUGAAAGGUAAUUAUUCUAUGUACAA
Molecule: long non-coding RNA, 3889 nt
Organism: Benincasa hispida (wax gourd)
Lineage: Eukaryota; Viridiplantae; Streptophyta; Magnoliopsida; Cucurbitales; Cucurbitaceae
Source: RefSeq, a predicted model, not a curated record